GUUCUUAUGCAUUUGUGAGUGGCAUUGAUUAAAUAAGGAUUCGGCAAGCAACAAGGGGAGAUACAACAUGUUACUAUGUUACCUUUUAAAUCUUCCCCCACAGAACUGAUAGUUGUAGUUACAUUUGCUAAAAUCUGAAGCAUGUUGCCUUUUGGAAUAUGCAUCUUUUUUUUUGUUCCUAUUUUUUAUUUGUUGGAGGACAACAUGUAUGUACUCAUAUUUUUGGUUCAUCUUUUUUUUUAUGUAUUAAUCGUUUGCACGGCACAUGAUUCCUAAUAAUAAGAAAAGAGAUGUGUAUUGAUCAUGAGUUUAGUAUACUUAUUUUCAGCUAUUUAGAGGC
This 340-nucleotide long non-coding RNA is filed under the name Hordeum vulgare. RNAcentral's name for it is "long non-coding RNA (HVUL_LNC011605)". Lineage: Eukaryota; Viridiplantae; Streptophyta; Magnoliopsida; Poales; Poaceae. The record is from RNAcentral.